CCCAAAACAGCUGAACAGCUCAUACAGUCAAUAUAUCCACAAUUCCCCCUUUUGAUCUCUCCCCUAUUUGCCCAGCUCCAGUUCUCCCGGGUCGUGUUGUUCCAGUAGAGGCAUCAGCAUCCCCGGUGGCGGUCCUGGAGCCUUCUCAAUGGCUAUAGAGAUCACUCUCAUAGCGAGCCCUCUUAUGCAUUGGAUACAACAACACCCACAAGCAUCAACUCAAGACACCAAGACAAGUCGAUACCAACUGUCAUUCAGCAUUGAACAAACAAAUUAGUGACUCUAAAGUAAACAAGGUGUCUGUCAAACUACACAAGUUUGCAGAUGAAGUCACUCUGGUUGGGUGACUGAAUGGCCAGGGAGACCAUGUCACAGGUAAUACACACAUACACCCGGUACACACUCACACACAUAUUACACACACUUUCAUACACAUUUGACACACACUCACACACAAAUGACA
Long non-coding RNA from Esox lucius (northern pike), 463 nucleotides. The record is from Ensembl. Lineage: Eukaryota; Metazoa; Chordata; Actinopteri; Esociformes; Esocidae.